GGCCUGAUGGUCAAGUGGUCAAGACGACAGCCUCUCACGCUGUAAUCCCGAGUUCGACUCUCGGUCAGGUCA
Molecule: transfer RNA, 72 nt
Filed under: Clostridium sp.
Lineage: Bacteria; Bacillati; Bacillota; Clostridia; Eubacteriales; Clostridiaceae
Description: tRNA-Glu
Rfam family: tRNA
About the family: Transfer RNA (tRNA) molecules are approximately 80 nucleotides in length. Their secondary structure includes four short double-helical elements and three loops (D, anti-codon, and T loops).
Source: RNAcentral